RNAcentral lists this ribosomal RNA (253 nucleotides) under uncultured bacterium. Its description in RNAcentral is "partial 16S ribosomal RNA". It matches the Rfam family "Bacterial small subunit ribosomal RNA", at positions 524 to 776 of the family's 1533-position model. The record is from RNAcentral.
GACAGAGGUCCCAAGCGUUCGGCGGAAUCACUGGGCUUAAAGCGUGUGUAGGCGGAUUUGUAAGUACCUUGUGAAAUCCCACGGCUCAACCGUGGAACUGCUUGGUAUACUGCUUAUCUUGGGCCAUCUAGGGGCGAGCGGAACAAACGGUGGAGCGGUGAAAUGCGUAGAUAUCGUUUGGAACGCCAAUGGUGAAAACAGCUCGCUGGGGAUGUGCCGACGCUGAGAUACGAAAGCCAGGGGAGCGAACGGG